RNAcentral lists this ribosomal RNA (253 nucleotides) under uncultured bacterium. RNAcentral's name for it is "partial 16S ribosomal RNA". It matches the Rfam family "Bacterial small subunit ribosomal RNA", at positions 524 to 776 of the family's 1533-position model. The record is from RNAcentral.
UACGGAGGGUGCGAGCGUUGUCCGGAAUCAUUGGGCGUAAAGGGCGCGUAGGUGGCCCGGUCAGCGUGCGGUGAAAGCUCGGGGCUCAACCCCGAGUCGGCCGUGCGAACUGCUGGGCUGGAGCACUGUAGAGGCAGGCGGAAUUCCGGGUGUAGCGGUGGAAUGCGUAGAGAUCCGGAAGAACACCAGUGGCGAAGGCGGCCUUCUGGACCAAUACUGACGCUCAUGCACGAAAGCGUGGGGAGCAAACAGG